GAGGAUAUAGCUCAGUGGUAGAGAGAAUGCUUAGCAUGCACAAGGUCCUAGGUUCAAUCCCCAGUACCUCCA
Camelus ferus (Wild Bactrian camel) is the source of this 72-nucleotide transfer RNA. It matches the Rfam family "tRNA". From Rfam's summary of the family: Transfer RNA (tRNA) molecules are approximately 80 nucleotides in length. Their secondary structure includes four short double-helical elements and three loops (D, anti-codon, and T loops). Lineage: Eukaryota; Metazoa; Chordata; Mammalia; Artiodactyla; Camelidae. The record is from Rfam.